RNAcentral lists this ribosomal RNA (497 nucleotides) under uncultured bacterium. RNAcentral's name for it is "partial 16S ribosomal RNA". It matches the Rfam family "Bacterial small subunit ribosomal RNA", at positions 28 to 507 of the family's 1533-position model. The record is from RNAcentral.
GAUGAACGCUGGCGGCGUGCCUAAUACAUGCAAGUCGAGCGAACGGACGAGAAGCUUGCUUCUCUGAUGGUAGCGGCGGACGGGUGAGUAACACGUGGAUAACCUACCUAUAAGACUGGGAUAACUUCGGGAAACCGGAGCUAAUACCGGAUAAUAUUUUGAACCGCAGGGUUCAAAAGUGAAAGGCGGUCUUGCUGUCACUAAUAGAUGGUUCCGCGCUGCAUUAGCUAGUUGGUAAGGUAACGGCUUACCAAGGCAACGAUGCAUAGCCGACCUGAGAGGGUGAUCGGCCACACUGGAACUGAGACACGGUCCAGACUCCUACGGGAGGCAGCAGUAGGGAAUCUUCCGCAAUGGGCGAAAGCCUGACGGAGCAACGCCGCGUGAGUGAUGAAGGUCUUCGGAUCGUAAAACUCUGUUAUUAGGGAAGAACAUAUGUGUAAGUAACUGUGCACAUCUUGACGGUACCUAAUCAGAAAGCCACGGCUAACUACGUG